UAGGGUUUGAUUAUGGCUCAGGAUGAACGCUGGCGGCGUGCUUAACACAUGCAAGUCGAACGAGCCUUCGGGUUAGUGGCGGACGGGUGAGUAACGCGUGGGAAUCUGCCCUCAGGAGGGGGAUAACGGCCGGAAACGGCCGCUAAUACCCCAUAUGCCGAGAGGUGAAAUGAAUUUCGCCUGAGGAUGAGCCCGCGUCUGAUUAGCUAGUUGGUGAGGUAAGAGCUCACCAAGGCAUCGAUCAGUAGCUGGUCUGAGAGGAUGAUCAGCCACACUGGGACUGAGACACGGCCCAGACUCCUACGGGAGGCAGCAGUGGGGAAUUUUCCGCAAUGGGCGAAAGCCUGACGGAGCAACGCCGCGUGAGGGAUGAAGGCCUCUGGGCUGUAAACCUCUUUUAUCAAGGAAGAAGAUCUGACGGUACUUGAUGAAUAAGCCACGGCUAAUUCCGUGCCAGCAGCCGCGGUAAUAC
Molecule: ribosomal RNA, 472 nt
Filed under: uncultured bacterium
Lineage: Bacteria
Description: bacterial SSU rRNA
Rfam family: Bacterial small subunit ribosomal RNA
Source: RNAcentral